GUAUUUCUAGUGGAGACUAGAGCGUCCCGAUGUACAUCGGGAAAGUCGCUGGUUCGAAUCCAGUCAGGUCCA
RNAcentral lists this transfer RNA (72 nucleotides) under Candidatus Parcubacteria bacterium. Its description in RNAcentral is "tRNA-Tyr". Lineage: Bacteria; Candidatus Parcubacteria. The record is from RNAcentral.